UUAUCUUUAUAUUUUAUAUUUAUUAAAAUUUAAACUGUAAAGGAUAAUUUUUACUAUAUUAAAGAAAUUCAAUUUUCCUUUAGUAUCAGGAGUUUUCAAUUCCUUUUAAAUAUAUUUAUUUCCUGAAAUAAGGUCAUCUAUAAUUUUAUUUUAUUAUUGUUUCAAAAAUACUGUUAAUAAAAUUUUAGAAGUUAAACUCUAUUCGAACCUUAUGAUAUCCGGUUUCUUUUUAAUUUUAACAAAUAAUUAUUCUUAAAAAGAUAAAUUUUUAGGUUUAUUUUAAUAAAUUGUCACCUUUUUCAGGAAUAAAAGUUUCCAAAAAGUUUCAUAACUAAUAUUUUUUAUUAAUAAAAUUUCUUUAUAAAGAUUCCCACAAUUAAUUUUAAUAAUGAGAUCAUAAGUAGAUAUUUUUAUUAAUAGUUUAAUAAUUAGGCAAUUAAUUGAAUGACUGUUUACCAAAAACAUUUCUUAAAGUUUUUAAUUUUAAGUAACACCUGCUCAGUGAUCUUUAAAUAGCCGCAAAUUUUUAACCUUCAUCUCGUACCGUAAUCACUAGCCUCUUAAUUAGAGGCUUCUCUGACAGGAGCAGCCUUUCCAUUUCUUUUUUGACUAUUUUUUUCUAAAUUUAAUUAAGAAUAAAAAUGUUCUUAUUUUUAAAAAAGACGAUAAGACCCUAUUGAACUUUACUGAAGUUUAGCUGGGGCAGCUAUUUAAUAAUCAUCUUAUUUUAAAAAUUGUUCUUUGAAUGACCCAAUUUUAUUGAUUAUAUGAACAAGUUACCAUAGGGAUAACAGCGUAAUAUCUUUUUAAAGUUCUUAUUAAAAAAGAUGAUUGCGACCUCGAUGUUGAAUUAAUGUUACUUUACUAAUGCAGCAAUUUUAAAAGUAGGUCUGUUCGACCUUUAAUACAUUACAUGAUUUGAGUUCAAAUCGGUGUAAACCAGAUUGGUUUCUAUCUUUUUAUAAUUUUUAUUUAGUACGAAAGGACCAAUAAAUUUAUUUUUAAUA
This 1007-nucleotide ribosomal RNA is filed under the name Cyrtophora moluccensis. RNAcentral's name for it is "16S ribosomal RNA". The stretch from base 657 to 960 matches the Rfam family "Archaeal large subunit ribosomal RNA", at positions 2151 to 2715 of the family's 2987-position model. Lineage: Eukaryota; Metazoa; Arthropoda; Arachnida; Araneae; Araneidae. The record is from RNAcentral.